GCAGAGACGCGCGGGCCACGCGUGGAGAGAGCGGCGCGAUGAGGCCGGGUUUCAGCCCCCGGGGUGGACGCGGUGGAUUCCGAGGCAGAGGUUCCGGGUUCGCGCCCCGCGGAGGGG
Melospiza melodia melodia is the source of this 117-nucleotide long non-coding RNA. RefSeq lists it as uncharacterized. NCBI's taxonomy places the organism in Eukaryota, Metazoa, Chordata, Aves, Passeriformes, Passerellidae. The transcript has 3 exons. The record is from RefSeq and is a predicted model, not a curated record.